GUCUACGGCCAUACCACCCUGAAGGCGCCCGAUCUCGUCUGAUCUCGGAAGCUAAGCAGGGUCGGGCCUGGUUAGUACUUGGAUGGGAGAUAUUUUCUGAUAUUUGAUCAGUUAGUUU
RNAcentral lists this ribosomal RNA (118 nucleotides) under Neogale vison (American mink). Lineage: Eukaryota; Metazoa; Chordata; Mammalia; Carnivora; Mustelidae. The record is from RNAcentral.